UCAAGGAAUUGAAUCGGGCAAUGUCAGAAAAUGAAAACUUAUGUAGCCAUUCUCUUUGGAGCAUGAUCAUUUAAAUAGCAUGUAAAUCUAUUUUUUCCCUGCUGUUUGUAAUAUCAGUAACAUCCUCAGAAGGUGGUACUGAGAGUAGAUCUGAAAUUAGGAAUGUAUAUUGCAUAGGGAAUAUCAUUAACUAUUUGCUAUUUAUCCCAAUCUCGUGGAAAAAAACCUGAACACAGUUAAUACUGACAAACUUGUAGGUAAGAGUUCAAAUCAAAUCCUGAGAGCAACUACUGGACUUUGAAUGAUUUGGAGCAGAGCUUGGAGCAGUAUUUCAUACUCACUUCUUAUAGCCAUAGUGGAUCAAAUCAGAAGUCUGUUUCAUAUUUUCUUUGAAUUAUGUGAGUUCGAAAUCCUGAUCAUAACGUUGCUACUCAGUGGAUAUGUAUUCAUUGGCAUUAGCAUUUCUGAAUGGAUUAACUCAGCCAUUGUGAAAAACAGAUUCUGCAGUUUACUUAAAGAUAAGCAUGAGCAGCGUCAGGUCAAACAUUUUGGAAAUUUCCCAACAGAAAAGGCUCGCUCAUGGAAACUAAAUGUUCUGUAGAAAAGCUGUGAAUUUGAUGAAACUAUUGAAAAGAAGCCAGCAGGCAUUUGACCAAAAUCUUGCUAUUUUUCUGUCAGUUCACCUAUCUUUCUUUCCCCUCCUAGGCAAUAUCAGCCUCCAUGGGCUUGCAGAAGGACUGGGAAAAAGAAAACAACAACAAGAUGUUGAUAUGAACAAAUGCUGACUACAGCAUGCUGCAGCCCAGAACAGACCCAAACACUUUGGAGAAAUCCAGAUCAGAACUCCGCAGUCAGCCUUCCUGCAAACCUAAUCACAAACAGCAAAACACUGGAGCUUCGCAAGAAGAUACCAUACCUUCAGGGAGGCAUUGGAACCACCCUCAUUUCUACUGAAGAGGAAAAGAUUACAGAUGGAAAAAAUAAAGUUAUUCAAAUGAUGUGAGGGAAUGUCCUCUCUCUCCUUUUGCUGAGUGACUUCAGAAAAGAAGUGGACUGUGAGCUCUGUAGACAGAACUGCUGGCAUUUUUUCCGAUAGUUACAAAAAUAACAAGCAAAGAGUUUCUUGGAUGAGAUUAGCCUGCCACGGUAACAGUGUUUAUUUUACUGACCUAAAUCAUAAUUCUCACCCCUUUCUCUACAGCUAUUGGCAUCUCUAUCUUUGUUAAUGCUAUGCCAAAGUCAAACAGCUUGAACAUUGCUAGUUUUUGCAACUGAGUGUGCCUAAGCCAGAGAUACUGCACCACUGGCAGACCACAAUUCAGUCUUCUGCUGCAACGCACACAACUCUUGGCUCAGUGAGUGCCGCAGAUGUUAAGAUGGUGCAAAGAAUGACACUUGUAUGUCUCCUGGCAUGUUCUUCUGCUCACAUUAGCGAGAUGUGGAGCCUGCUCACUCCUCAGAGCCCUUGAAAAUCCCACUGAAGGAUGUGUAGAAGUCAGUGGACAACACACUGUUUUCAUAAAGAAAAUGCAAGUGCUCCAACCAUAUGUGCUGAUGCUCUGCUCACUUGUGGACCAUCUAGGAGCAGGAUCCAGUGUUUCAGGGUGCUCACAUUCUGACUCCUACCACUGGCUUCUUGCAUGUUUCUGGUGUUCAGACCUCUGUCUGUGAGGGUAAACUUUAAGCCUGAUGACCAGUUUCCUCUUAGUGCACAAAUGCAGCAAAGAGGAUCUGCGAGUUGGAUGCUGACCUGAAAGUAAAGCACAGUCACAGGCAACUGUUUUUGCUAGUCAGUUUUUCUACCUGUGUUAAUUCUCAUCUGAACACUGAGGACUGUGACUGGGAAGUAAACAUGAGCAUCAGAUGUAAGUGUCACUCUUAAUGGAAUCCUAACUCGGAUGGAAUCAACUGGGAUGUAACUAAUACCCAUAUGUUGGCACAUACCUCAGGAAAAUUAUCUGCAUUUUAAUUGUAAUAAGCAGGAUUUGUGCUUUAAAGUGACAAAAUAAUAAAGUUUGAUUGUUAUGACUCACUCAGUUGUUAAAUAACAAUCAAGUUACCAAUAAUUUCACCCAUAUAUAAGUCCUGACAGUCAUUUAAAUAGGAUGUGAUAGUAUGAAUACCAGAUAAAUAUGUUUUACAUGGCAACCCACUGAAGUUCUAUUUUUAUGGUUUUUUUAAAUACUUUGUUCCAAGGUACAUGGUAUAGUAGAAAAUGUUUCUCUGCUUAUUAUAUAUAAUUUUGAUAGUUUUCAGAUAGUUUUCUAUAUCUUUAGUACAGUUUAAGUCUCUAAACUUCACUAGACAUUUUGGUGUGUAUGUAUGAGCAGAUCAAGUGAAAUGAAACUAUGAAUUCCAAACAAACUCAUCUACCAGUUUUCAAAUUAUGCCUAUGCUGGAAGCUAUUGUCCCUUGGACCUGUAGUAUCUAUAAUUCCCAUUAAAAAAAAAUUACACAGCCUGUUUCAAGGCUUAUUUCAGCACAGAAAUCCAAAGUCACUGCUAAGAAACCAUGAGCUCACAGUUCUAUACCACUAGUUAGAUUGGGGCUGCUAUAGAAAAAAAAAGUUAGAUCCCCAGGUCUGAUUCUCUACUCUUAGGAGUAUACAAGUUUUAGAAAAGCUCUGUUCAAGCAGUGCGUUAUCCAUUAUAGUCAUUUCAUACAGGAGAGUUUAUACAGAACUGGUACCCCUACAGCUUCAAACAUAUCCAAAACAGAAAACUUUCAUCUUUUGUUGUUGUUUUGCAGGUGCUCAGUUGGAUAUGCCGUGUUCUUACAACUGCUUAAUUGCAAUUUGGCAGUAGUUUCUAAGCAAUAAUUCUAAACAAUUCGCAAAUUUAAUAUUUUUGUGUAUCAAAAAACUGCUCUCAGUGAAGCACACUCAAAGAACAUGCAUAUUGACUGCUUAGGGCUAAAAUUAAUAAUCACUACUUAUUUAUGCUAACAGUAAUACGUUAUCACUGUGGUUUUGCUUAGACUAGUUUGUGUGAUGUCUGCUCUAUAUCAUGUUAUACAAACAUUCUUUCCCACAAUAUCAUAGUCAUAAAUUUAGUAUAAGAAUAGUGUAAGAGAAGAUAAAACACACUAUUCUUUUGAUUUUGAUUAGUAUGUUUGUUAGGAAAACAUUCAUCCAUUUAAGGUAGUAAAGGAACUCUUUACCUCAAGUACUUCAUAGGCUCACCUCCAAAGUCCUGGAAAUCUGAGAAUAGUGUGGGUUAAUUCAGGAAACAGUGCAUGAGGUACAUACAUACACAGAUUGCAUAUAUACAGCAUGUGAAACAGCCCACAGAGGCUCAGGCAUUAUUUGUUAACAGACACCAACCAUUGGCUUACAGGCCAGGACAGUGAAUAGACUUCUGUGUAAACUGCAAGUAGAGAACUACCGCAUGCUCAUGUUCAGUCCUUGCAAGUUACAUGUUUCAAGGCUAGCUUCUGCCAGUGAACCUACAUAUUGACUGAGUAGGGAGGAGCUCCUGCCAAAAAAUAACUGGUCCUUGGGCAUCUUGUCGGCUAAGGGCCAGUCCUCAAAUGCAAUUUGGGUGUAUAAUUUUUCUGGGAAAAAAAGAGCUCUUAUCUGUACAGAUGUGUUGACCAGCUACACAUAUAGAAAAUAUCUGGUUUACUUUUUAAUUUAGGCAAAGCCAUUGAUGGUUUUCAAUUGGCUGAGUCACAGCACCAUAAAGGUUAGCCAACUUGACGUCAAAACCAGUGGUCCCUCACCUCCCAGCUGUAGCUGAGCAGGUUGGCCAAUGGCUGUGCCAUCCACCAAAAACCCUUCCUAGGGUCUCCAGGAGCUGAGCUGUGGAGAAAGGAGUUACUAGGAGGAAGAGUUUGUGUUGAAAUUAUAUUAUAUAUACAUAUAUAUAUACACACACACACGUAUAGAUAUAUAUGUACACACACACCACACACCUAUAAGCACAUGCACACUUUUAUAAUCUAUAUACACAUAUAUAAUUGUAUUUACAGGAAGCUGAAAGUUCCAAAGCAGAGUUAAAGAGUUAGAUAACACCAAGCAAACAGCUUGAGCCAAGACAUCUGAGCUUACCUUUGGUUUCUAAGACUCCUACGAGUGUUGUUAAUUCAGCAAUUCACAUAUUGCUACUGGACUAUUCCAUUUUACUGAAAUCAAGUGAUAAGGGUUUUGAAAGCCCAUGUCUUUGGAAAGGAAUAUGGCUACUGCAGCAGCCUGAUGAAGACAGAACAUGCACAAGGGAAAACUUCAUACAGCACUCUCCAUGUGGCUUCACUGAGCCACACUUACUGUACACUGUUUCCUCAGAAAGCCCUUCAAAAACAUUUCAGGUAUACUUAUAGGAUAAAUGCACAGCUAGGUCUGUGGCAGAAGACUAAAGUUUAAGAUACCAUAAAUGACUGCUUCCUGGAACAAAUGGCAGGCUAAUCCAUAAGGGGGAGAAGCAAUUUUUUUUUUUUAUUUAGACCUAAAUGAUGCAUGGGACCUGCUUCAAAAUGAACAUUCACUCUUCAAGACUGACCAUAAAGCACUUAAAAUCUACAUUCCUAUAGGAGUGAGAAGCCAAAAUUGUAACUUCAGAAAGGGGAAGUACAUAAAAAUGAGAAAUCUUGUUAAAACGGAAUUUAAAAGAAGCAACCCAAAAAAAUAAAAAUUGCAGAUAUAAUGUAUGUACAUGUUAUUAAAGUCUCAGAAUAAUCAUAUAUUAUGUAUCCAAAAGAAAUCCCUCAGAAACCAAGAAUUAAAGGACCACACAAAAAAGGCAGCAUGACUAUAUGAUACAGUAAAGACAGCUAAUUGGGGUAAAAAGAAAUCCCUCAAACAGCGGAGCUUAUGUGGAACAAUGAGGAAAAUAGAAAAGAUCAUAAACUUCAGCAUUUCAAAUGGUAACUCAUAUUACAGCAGGCCAAAAAGAUCAUAAGGAACAACACACCACAGACAUAAAAAAGUAGUAAUAAAAUCUUUCUUUUCCAAACACGCUAGUGUUAGAUACAGAAGUUCUGCCAGAGAAUUUGUAGGGUUGAUCGUCAUGGUACACCAUAAGACUGCUUAUGAAAGACAAAUACUAAGUUAUGUGCAUGGGGGAAGGAACCCUAACUGCUCUCACUUAGUUCUGAUUUCUAGAUCAGCUACUACUGCUCAAGAAGAUCUAGUAGCUCUUAUGGCUAGUUCAAUGAAAGUGUCAGCUGAGUACUCAACAGCAGUAGAGAAAUGAGGAGAAUCUUUGCAGUUAUAAAUAAAGGAAUAGAAAACAAAGUGGAAAAUGCUUAUGCAAGUCCAUGAAAAAGCUUAAACCUUCAGUCUUAAUUACCAUGCAUUGUCAGGGCGUAGGAGGCUGUCAAUGUGAGCAUAAGGUUCAAGAUCCUUUUGCUCAUUUCAUCUUAUUACAGAAGGACCGUAUAUAUCACAGCUAUACUUAAAUAAUGAAUGUGCAGCACACAGUGAACCCGCAGAACAUGUUGCCCCAGGAUACUGUGAAACUGAGAGCACAUCUCAGGGCACAGCCUAGAUUUUGUUUGUUUAGGAAUAUUUUUUGCUGCUUGUGCAACAGAAGUUAUUAAAUAAUUUCUCACAGCUCAGGUACUUUGAAUACAUGUCUGCAUUAAUGUUUUUGCUGGUAAAGUGAAAAAUGUUGAUGGUGUGAGACUUGAAUCCCAGA
RNAcentral lists this long non-coding RNA (5633 nucleotides) under Gallus gallus (chicken). RNAcentral describes it as "lncRNA (ENSGALG00010021495.1)". The record is from RNAcentral. Lineage: Eukaryota; Metazoa; Chordata; Aves; Galliformes; Phasianidae.